UCCAGGAUGUUCUGACCACACCAGAGGACCAAUUGUUCCACCUCCUGUCUGUAUGCAGCCUCAUCACCAUCAUGGAUGAGUCAAAUGAUGGUGGUGUCGUCUGCAAACUUCAGGAGUUUAACAGAGUGGUUCCCUGAGAUGCAGUCGUUUGUAUAGAAGGAAAAGAGCAGUGAGGAGAGCACACACCCCUGAGGGGCACCAGUGCUGAUUGUACAUGUGCUGGAUGUGAUGCUCCUCAGCCUCACCUGCUGCUUCCUGUCUGUCAGGAAGUUGGACAUCCACUGGCAGAUGGGGGAUGG
Long non-coding RNA from Thalassophryne amazonica, 299 nucleotides. RefSeq lists it as uncharacterized. The transcript is spliced from 3 exons. NCBI's taxonomy places the organism in Eukaryota, Metazoa, Chordata, Actinopteri, Batrachoidiformes, Batrachoididae. The record is from RefSeq and is a predicted model, not a curated record.